This 240-nucleotide unclassified non-coding RNA is filed under the name soil metagenome. Its description in RNAcentral is "partial contains 5.8S ribosomal RNA, internal transcribed spacer 2, and large subunit ribosomal RNA". The record is from RNAcentral.
AACGGUCUAUACCUGCGGUACCUGCGGAGGGAUCAUUACCGAGUUUACAACUCCCAAACCCAAUGUGAACGUUACCAAACUGUUGCCUCGGCGGGAUCUCUGCCCCGGGUGCGUCGCAGCCCCGGACCAAGGCGCCCGCCGGAGGACCAACCAAAACUCUUUUUGUAUACCCCCUCGCGGGUUUUUAUAUCUGAGCCAUCUCGGCGCCUCUCGUAGGCGUUUCGAAAAUGAAUCAAAACU